RNAcentral lists this ribosomal RNA (1493 nucleotides) under uncultured Bordetella sp. Its description in RNAcentral is "partial 16S-23S ribosomal RNA intergenic spacer". It matches the Rfam family "Bacterial small subunit ribosomal RNA". The record is from RNAcentral. Lineage: Bacteria; Pseudomonadati; Pseudomonadota; Betaproteobacteria; Burkholderiales; Alcaligenaceae.
AGUUCUGAUUAUGGCUCAGAUUGAACGCUGGCGGGAUGCUUUUUACACAUGCAAGUCGAACGCAGCAUGGACUUCUUGGUCUGGUGGCGAGUGGCGAACGGGUGAGUAAUGUAUCGGAACGUGCCUAGUAGCGGGGGAUAACUACGCGAAAGCGCUAAUACCGCAUACGCCCUUCGGGGAAAGCGGGGACCUUUCGCCUUCGCACUAUUAGAGCGGCCGAUAUCGGAUUAGCUAGUUGGUGGGGUAACGGCUCACCGUUAUGACGAUCCGUAGCUGGUUUGAGAGGGACGACCAGCCACACUGGGACUGAGACACGGCCCAGACUCCUACGGGAGGCAGCAGUGGGGAAUUUUGGACAAUGGGGGAAACCCUGAUCCAGCCAUCCCGCGUGCGAUGAAGGCCUUCGGGUUGUAAAGCACUUUUGGCAGGAAAGAAACGGGCAUCGAUAAUACCCGUGCAACUGACGGUACCUACAGAAUAAGCACCGGCUAACUACGUGCCAGCAGCCGCGGUAAUACGUAGGGUGCAAGCGUUCAUCGGAAUUACUGGGCGUAAAGCGUGCGCAGGCGGUUCGAAAGAAAGAUGUGAAAUCCCAGAGCUUAACUUUUUGGAACUGCAUUUUUAACUACCGAGCUAGAGUGUGGCCGUAGGAGGUGGAAUUCGCGUGUAGCAGUGAAAUGCGUAGAUAUGCGGAGGAACACCGAUGGCGAAGGCAGCCUCCUGAUAACACUGACGCUCAUGCACGAGCGUGGGGAGCAAACAGGAUUAGAUAAUUCUGGUAGUCCACGCCCCAAACGAUGUCAACUAGCUGUUGGGGCCUUCGGGCCUUGGUAGCGCAGCUAACGCGUGAAGUUGACCGCCUGGGGAGUACGGUCGCAAGAUUAAAACUCAAAGGAAUUGACGGGGACCCGCACAAGCGGUGGAUGAUGUGGAUUAAUUCGAUGCAACGCGAAAACCUUACCUACCCUUGACAUGUCUGAAUCCCGAAGAGAUUUGGGGAGUGCUCGCAAGAGAACCGGAACACAGGUGUUGCAUGGCUGUCGUCAGCUCGUGUCGUGAGAUGUUGGGUUAAGUCCCGCAACGAGCGCAACCCUUGUCAUUAGUUGCUACGAAAGGGCACUCUAAUGAGACUGCCGGUGACAAACCGGAGGAAGGUGGGGAUGACGUCAAGUCCUCAUGGUUCUUAUGGGUAGGGCUUCACACGUCAUACAAUGGUCGGGACAGAGGGGGUCGCCAACCCGCGAGGGGGAGCCAAUCCCAGAAACCCGAUCGUAGUCCGGAUCGCAGUCUGCAACUCGACUGCGUGAAGUCGGAAUCGCUAGUAAUCGCGGAUCAGCAUGUCGCGGUGAAUACGUUCCCGGGUCUUGUACAUUAACCGCCCGUCACACCAUGGGAGUGGGUUUUACCAGAAGUAGUUAGCCUAACCGUAAGGAGGGCGAUUACCACGGUAGGAUUCAUGACUGGGGUGUAGUCGUAACAAGGUAACUCUGUUA